GAGAGAUGAUUAGUGGAAGAAAACGAGCAAUAUCCACGGAGAAAAUGGCGGAGGUGACUUUUAUGUCGACGAACUAAUGAGAAUUAAAAGAAACGGAGAAUUGCCCGGGGGCAUUGGGAAGUCAUCAUCGAUUCCCCGUACCAUCCUCCUCGUCGUCAUUGACGCACUGCUAUUUGGACAUCAAUUGAUCGCAUAUUGAUCAUUCUUUCGUAAUGACAUCGUCGAAAUAGGAAGAACAGGUAGUCACGUAAAUGUACGUAUCAGGCAUUCCUGUUUCUGUACGCGCCCAUUGUGAUGAUGAGUAAAAGCAAAAUUCCUUAAUAAAUGAAAAUUAAAGCAUUGGUGUUCCAGAAGAUUUCUGCAAAACGUGCAAAAGCAAAGUGUCACGAGGAAUUCUUACGACCAAAAUCCCAGGAUAUUUGAGUGUUUGAUAAAAAGGAAUGGAAUGGAGGAAAGAUGUGAAAUCGAUUUUUCUGAGAAGAUUAUAACCAAAGAGGAGUCAAACUGCUGAUGUUACCAAAAAGCAGAAUAUUUUUAAUUUUUCUAAAAUUCAAAAUAUCAUUAAAAAUUCAUGUAUUCGCACUGUAAGAGGAAAGUCCCACACUGGCGACGAGGUUAUGAGAGUAUUGAGCAUGUAACGAGAGAUCCAACCUUGACCUGGAUAACGUAGCAGCACACAUGAAAUGAAAAUGCAACGGUUGAUGCAAGCUAGACUGGAAUUGACUCUGUACAUGUUUGUACCUCGUGCCCAGGCCGAGUUUUCAAUCAUAUUAAAUUUAAUACGAAUCA
Venturia canescens is the source of this 789-nucleotide long non-coding RNA. RefSeq lists it as uncharacterized. NCBI's taxonomy places the organism in Eukaryota, Metazoa, Arthropoda, Insecta, Hymenoptera, Ichneumonidae. The transcript is spliced from 2 exons. The record is from RefSeq and is a predicted model, not a curated record.